This 905-nucleotide unclassified non-coding RNA is filed under the name Hevea brasiliensis (rubber tree). Lineage: Eukaryota; Viridiplantae; Streptophyta; Magnoliopsida; Malpighiales; Euphorbiaceae. The record is from RNAcentral.
UGUAAUCAUCUCCAUUAUACAUCUGCAAUUGAAAGAGAAGAAAGGUCAACUUGGAAGAUACGUAAAAUGUCCAAGACAAAUUUUAAAGCAUCAUCUAAAUUUCUUUUCAUUCGAACUCCAGAUCCUUGAACACAACAUAGUUGAAAUUCAUGCAUGCAUUGACUGGUUCAUAACAUAACUCCAGCAUCUUUUCACAGUAAAAAGAUACAUAUAAUAAGAACAGAGCUUUUUACGCAAUUAUAUAUAGGUGAAAUAAUUUAUAAAAUUCAACAUCUGAACAUGAUCAGCUCCGAAGCAGCAGAAGAUCCAAAAAAUUAGCUGCUUAAGUUCUGGCAUCCUCAUAAUAAGAAAAUUAUUAUAAGAAUUAAUCACAAAAGAGAGCAAGAGAUGGAUCAUUAAUGUACAGGUCAGACUGGCAGAUGUGCUAACAAAAUAGCAAAUAUAACUCAUGACAAAUGUGAAGGCAGCAAAUAUUCUAUGCUACAUCAGCAAAUUUUUGCCACAUCAGAGUAGACAUACAUCUUAGCCAAGAUUCCCACAGUAUGCGGACUAAAUUGAUAAUUAAAAGAAUUAGAUAAAAUUAAAACAGUAGCAAUUAAGCAAAAAGAAAAGCUAUUCAGAAAUUGCACAACCAGUGAAUAGAUGAGGUCAUUUUAACUUGACAAUCGUAAGAUAAUAUUAUAAUGAGAUAUAUAUGUGCCAAUCAAGAGGUAGUCUGAUUAGUUUUCCUUCAACUUUAAGGUGCAGGGAGUGGAGAAGUCUCGAAUUCGAGUCUUCCAUCUACCUAUUAUAAGAUUAUUCACCUUUAUAGUGAGAAAAUGAGAGGGCUACCUGAUAUGAACCUACCCAACUCUACCUCAAAAGCCAACUUAUAAGGGGACGAUUGCAAACCCAUAUAUAUAACA